AUGAGCUGCAUAAGCUGGAACUGCCGGGGGCUUGGGAAACCUGAGGCAGUUCGCGAGCUUCGCAACGUUGUGAAGCAAGAAGGGCCUGUGCUGGUUUUUGUCAUGGAGAUGAAGAUCAGUGGGAAGCGAGUUGAGGAUCUGCGGCAUACUCUAGGGUUUGUAGGCAGUUUUGAAGUAAACAGUGACGGCCUAAGCGGAGGCAUAGGGCUGUUUUGGUCCAAUGACAUAAAGGUUGAGCUUAAAAACUUCAGCAAAAAUCAUAUUGAUGUCAUGGUUAGUUCAGACACCAUGGGUUUGAACGCGUGGAGGUUUACAGGGUUCUAUGGAGCGCCAAGAGCCUCCGAUAGUCAACAUAGCUGGCGCUUCCUUAGAACACUCCACAGCAUUCCACAUGGUGUGUGGAUGUGCGCCGGAGACUUCAAUGAAACUCUAUACCCCAUGAACACUUCAGCAGAACUGAUCGCCCCGAGCAACAGAUGA
This 480-nucleotide ribosomal RNA is filed under the name Triticum aestivum (bread wheat). RNAcentral's name for it is "partial small subunit ribosomal RNA". The record is from RNAcentral. Lineage: Eukaryota; Viridiplantae; Streptophyta; Magnoliopsida; Poales; Poaceae.